This 286-nucleotide long non-coding RNA is filed under the name Elaeis guineensis (African oil palm). Its description in RNAcentral is "long non-coding RNA (EGUI_LNC070459)". The record is from RNAcentral. Lineage: Eukaryota; Viridiplantae; Streptophyta; Magnoliopsida; Arecales; Arecaceae.
AGGUCAGAUUUUCAAACCUGAACCUAAUCUAUUUAAUAAACAGGUCACCUAACUCGACCUAUUUAACCUGUUUAUUAAACAAUUAACCUGUUUAUCCAACCCAACCCGACCUGUUUAACCCAUUUAUUAUUGAACCCAUUUAACCUGUUUAACCUGUUUAAAUAACACAUGCAAGAUACUAUUCAUUAAAUAAAUCAUAGGUAAAUAAUGAUCAUUAGAGAGUCAGGAAUCCAUAAAUUAGAGCAAAAAUAGUUAGACAAAAAUUUUUGAUUUAAACCAGCCGAGC